UGUAGUCUCGCACAGAUGCAUAUCAAUAAGCGGAGGAAAAGAAACUAACAAGGAUUCCCUUAGUAACGGCGAGUGAAGCGGGAAGAGCUCAAAUUUGAAAUCUUGCAAGGUUUACCUUUACGAAUUGUAGUUUAAAGAAGUGUUUUCUGUUAAGAUUUGGUAAUAAGUUCUUUGGAAUAGGACAUCACAGAGGGUGAGAAUCCCUGUCUAUGAUUGCGAUUUGUAGCUUUGUGAUACACUUUCAAAGAGUCGGGUUGUUUGGGAAUGCAGCCCAAAACGGGAGGUAAAUUUCUUCUAAGGCUAAAUAUUGGCGAGAGACCGACAGCGAACAAGUACCGUGAGGGAAAGAUGAAAAGAACUUUGAAAAGAGAGUUAAAUAGUACGUGAAAUUGUCAAAAGGGAAGCGUUUAACACCAGUGUUGUUUUCUGAAAAUCAACCUCUGUUAGCUUUAUGCAUGUUUGUUUAGACCUAAUCAGCUAUCUUGCAUGUUCUAUUGUUUGCAGUGGUGCACUUUUCAGUUUACAGGUCAACAUCAGUUUUUUUUACCGUAAAAAAGUUAAAGAAAGGUAGCUCAUGGCUCCGGUCGUGAGUGUUAUAGUCUUUUUCCUAUGCGAUAGGAGAGACUGAGGUCUGCAGUGUAGGCUAUUUGGCUAGAUACUCAGGUGCUAUGUGAUACCAUUUCAUAAACAACUUGUUGAUUAUGUUUUGUCUAUUGCAUACUCGCUUGUACUAUCAUACCUACGCUUAGGAUGUUGAAGAUGUAGCACAUCAUACACGCAUGACACACUGCAUAUCAAUAAGCGGAGGAAAAGGAGUAUACCUACGCUUAGGAUGUUGAAGAUGUAGCACAUCAU
RNAcentral lists this ribosomal RNA (855 nucleotides) under uncultured Neocallimastigales. Its description in RNAcentral is "partial large subunit ribosomal RNA". The stretch from base 7 to 663 matches the Rfam family "Eukaryotic large subunit ribosomal RNA", at positions 24 to 664 of the family's 3401-position model. The record is from RNAcentral. Lineage: Eukaryota; Fungi; Neocallimastigomycota; Neocallimastigomycetes; Neocallimastigales.